GUCUAUGUAAUUUAUACAAAAUACUGGUCUUGUAAAUCAGAAAAAGGCUUUACCUCUUAGACU
Molecule: transfer RNA, 63 nt
Filed under: Chelonibia testudinaria
Lineage: Eukaryota; Metazoa; Arthropoda; Thecostraca; Balanomorpha; Chelonibiidae
Description: tRNA-Thr
Source: RNAcentral